GGGGAUGUGGCUCAGUGGUAGAGUGCUUCCCUAACAUGUGUGAGGCACUGGGUUCAAUUCUCAGCAUCACAU
Molecule: transfer RNA, 72 nt
Filed under: Urocitellus parryii (Arctic ground squirrel)
Lineage: Eukaryota; Metazoa; Chordata; Mammalia; Rodentia; Sciuridae
Also listed under: 2 other names
Description: Spermophilus parryii (Arctic ground squirrel) tRNA
Rfam family: tRNA
About the family: Transfer RNA (tRNA) molecules are approximately 80 nucleotides in length. Their secondary structure includes four short double-helical elements and three loops (D, anti-codon, and T loops). Further hydrogen bonds mediate the characteristic L-shaped molecular structure. tRNAs have two regions of fundamental functional importance: the anti-codon, which is responsible for specific mRNA codon recognition, and the 3' end, to which the tRNAs corresponding amino acid is attached (by aminoacyl-tRNA synthetases). tRNAs cope with the degeneracy of the genetic code in two manners: having more than one tRNA (with a specific anti-codon) for a particular amino acid; and 'wobble' base-pairing, i.e. permitting non-standard base-pairing at the 3rd anti-codon position.
Source: Rfam by way of RNAcentral